Molecule: ribosomal RNA, 228 nt
Filed under: uncultured bacterium
Lineage: Bacteria
Description: partial 16S ribosomal RNA
Rfam family: Bacterial small subunit ribosomal RNA
Source: RNAcentral
GAUCCUAGCUCAGGAUGAACGCUAGCUACAGGCUUAACACAUGCAAGUCGAGGGGGCGAGCAUGGUCUUAGCUUGCUAAGGCCGAUGGCGACCGGCGCACGGGUGAGUAACACGUAUCCAACCUGCCGUCUACUCUUGGACAGCCUUACUGAAAGGAAGAUUAAUACAAGAUGGCAUCAUGAGUUCACAUGUUCACAUGAUUAAAGGUAUUCCGGUAGACGAUGGGGA